AGACACAAGUCCAAAACACUCUACUCCGGCUGCAAAUUCUGUCACCCUAUUGCUUGUCAGGGUUACUUUGGCUGAUAUGGCUGGCUAGGAGAGUGUCCUAUUCCUCCCUUGCUGUUCAGCGUGUGACUUUCCCAAAGCUGCGUGCUCAGAGGAAGAAGGCCAAGUGCCCGGAUAGAGGAGGGCGGCUUCCCAGUCAAGGGGAUCCAUGUAGCUGCACUCCCUGCUAGAGCCUCCAAACAGGUCCUCCAAGCCUCGCAGGCCAGUGGGCUGCCUUCCUACCACACGCUUGUCCAAGCCUCGCAGGCCAGUGGGCUGCCUUCCUA
RNAcentral lists this small nuclear RNA (323 nucleotides) under Octodon degus (degu). Its description in RNAcentral is "7SK RNA (ENSODEG00000024124.1)". It matches the Rfam family "7SK RNA". From Rfam's summary of the family: 7SK was discovered as an abundant small nuclear RNA in the mid-70s but a possible function has only recently been suggested. Two independent studies have found that 7SK RNA binds the CDK9/cyclin T complex (known as elongation factor P-TEFb). P-TEFb activates transcription by phosphorylating the C-terminal domain of RNA polymerase II. Lineage: Eukaryota; Metazoa; Chordata; Mammalia; Rodentia; Octodontidae. The record is from Rfam by way of RNAcentral.